GGUGAAGAACGUAGCGAAAUGCGAUACGUAAUGUGAAUUGCAGAAUUCAGUGAAUCAUCGAGUCUUUGAACGCACAUUGCGCCCCCUGGUAUUCCGGGGGGCAUGCCUGUCCGAGCGUCAUUGCUGCCCUCAGGCACGGCUUGUGUGUUGGGCCUCCGUCCUCCUCCCGGGGGACGGGCCCGAAAGGCAGCGGCGGCACCGCGUCCGGUCCUCGAGCGUAUGGGGCUUCGUCACCCGCUCUUGUAGGCCCGGCCGGCGCUUGCCGACACAUCAAUCUUUUUUCCAGGUUGACCUCGGAUCAGGUAGGGAUACCCGCUGAACUUAAGCAUAUCAAUAAGCGGAGGA
Molecule: unclassified non-coding RNA, 345 nt
Filed under: soil metagenome
Description: partial contains 5.8S ribosomal RNA, internal transcribed spacer 2, and large subunit ribosomal RNA
Rfam family: 5.8S ribosomal RNA (bases 3-120)
Source: RNAcentral